Molecule: microRNA precursor, 103 nt
Filed under: Marmota monax (woodchuck)
Lineage: Eukaryota; Metazoa; Chordata; Mammalia; Rodentia; Sciuridae
Source: RNAcentral
AGUGGGAUAACUGGAUCAAAUGGUGGCUCCAUUCCAGGUUUUCUAAGGAAUUUCUAUACUGCUUUCCAGAAUGGUUGUACCAGUUUGCAAUUACACCAGCAAU